This is a long non-coding RNA of Sinocyclocheilus grahami, 277 nucleotides long. RefSeq lists it as uncharacterized. The record is from RefSeq and is a predicted model, not a curated record. The transcript has 3 exons. Lineage: Eukaryota; Metazoa; Chordata; Actinopteri; Cypriniformes; Cyprinidae.
UGUGCUUUUCUCAGUCGGAGACAGACAACCAAGUCUUUUUGUCUUUUAAACCAGAAAGACAGCUGACAGAUCUAACCGACACUCGCGCCACAGAAACUAAUUCAACAGAGCAAAGGCAGCGUGGAGUGCUGGGAUGUCAAAGGCAACAAGAUGGCUGCAAUACUACGAGCCUAAAGUGAAAAAAAGGAGCCUGAGCAGGUGCAGAAGGCAGCAGUCCCCAUCAUUGCUGCUGAGGAGGAAGAGGAAAUGUCUCGAGGGAACCCACUGGAUGUGUUGA